AAACAAUUUUCUUGGCUAGUCUAGUGCUUCUCCCUUAUCUAAGUCUCUAGGAGAAUCCUACUGUUAUUGGGCAUAAGAGGGUUUUAUUUCUUCCUGUUUUGUCACCUACACUUUUGAGUCAGAUCUCAAAAAUGGUCCUUCUGCCAGGAGUUACUUGCACCCAUAGAAUGAGAAGUUUGAUUCAGAAUGAGAGGAGAGCUUUAUUCCCAAUAAAGCGUGAGAGGUAGGAGUUUGGUCUAGAGCAUAUGCUCUCCCCCAAACCAGCAGGGCUGUUUUAUAUGAUUCCUGUCAGCUGGGAGGGGGUGAGGGUCUCCCAGAAGGGCUCAGCUGUGCUGCUUGAGGCUCCAGAUCACAGUGCCGGGUGCGAUAUAUCUGCUCACAGCCCUCAGAGCUAAGGUGUGGCCAUUUCGCAUCAGGGCGUCUGGUAUGAAAGGCUGGGUGCAAGGCCUCUGCAGGAGGCACUCUGUGAACAAGUGAAGCUCAGCUCAGCACAAAGAAAAAGAAAAAAGAUUCCGCCCGGCUUUCCCUUCCUCCCGUAGCCACGCCCCGGCUUGGCUUCCAGCAGCCGUGGCAGCGCUGGCGUUUAGCCGAUGCCCAGAGACGACUCCCGAGAGGCGGUUUAGCUGACCACCUGGCGGGCAGCCGGCGCUCCUCUCCAGGAAGCAAGCGGUUCUCGAGCUCUCGCCGAGCGGACCGGUGAGGUGGCCGGGUCUCCAGCAUCCCCGCCGGCGCCUCCAGGAGCAGCGAGUCCCGGUUCCGCGCCAGCCCCAGCUGGCAAGAGCCAGCCGGUGUCCCCGGAGGAGAAGCCCAACCCGCUGCAGGACGCGAACCUCGGCUCGCGCUCGUUUGUCUGGAGUUUUUCAAGGGAAGUUCUUCAAGUUCUUGCUGUUGGAGAUGAUGCAUGUGAAACAGUUGGUGAUGGACAGGGAGGCCUGUGUGCUGCAAUUCAUGGGGUUGCAAAGAGUCGGACAUGACUGAGCAACUGAACUGAACUUGGGUAUUUGCUUUCUUCCCAAAUUUCAUCUGCUUUCGAAACUUGUAAACGAUGCCAGUAACUAGCUUACUGAGUUUUAUACAAAUGACCUUGAAACGGAAAGUGGGGUCUUGCUGCUCGCCUCUCAAAAGCCAAUAAAGAAGCAAAGUUUGUGGAAAGGA
This is a long non-coding RNA of Bubalus bubalis (water buffalo), 1155 nucleotides long. RefSeq lists it as uncharacterized. NCBI's taxonomy places the organism in Eukaryota, Metazoa, Chordata, Mammalia, Artiodactyla, Bovidae. The record is from RefSeq and is a predicted model, not a curated record. The transcript is spliced from 3 exons.